CUGGCAGGCUGGCGGGUGGGCAGGGGUGUGAAGGGUGGCCGCUGUUUUGCGGCUCCGGCUAAAGAUGGCGGCUGAGGGCGGGGGCAAGGAGUUGAACGAGAUCAAGUCGCAGUUCCGGACCCGGGAGGGAGCCUACAAGCUGCUGAGCCUGUCGGAGUACAGUCGUCCGAACCGGGUGCCCCUGAGCGCCACUCAGGGCACCAAUCCGGUGCGGGUUUCUAUGGUAAACGUGCGGGACCAGAGCGGCAGCGGCGACCGCAUCUGCUUCAAUGUGGGCCGGGAGCUCUAUCUCUACCUGUACCGAGGCCCCAGAAAGGCAGCAGAUCUAAGCAAACCCAUUGACAAGCGGAUAUACAAAGGGACACAGCCCACCUGCCAUGAUUUUAACCAAUUCACUGCCACGCCUGACAGCGUCUCGCUUGUAGUUGGUUUCUCCGCGGGUCAAGUGCAGUACCUGGAUCCGAUUAAGAAGGAAACCAGCAAACUGUUUAAUGAAGAGAGGUUUAUUGACAAGACCAAAGUGACCUGCCUAAAGUGGAUGCCUGAGUCUGAGAGCCUCUUCCUGGUCGCCCACACUAGCGGCAACCUUUACCUCUACAAUGUGGACCAUCCGUGUGGAACCACUGCUCCCCACUACCAGCCACUGAAGCAGGGACCAGGCUUUGCUGUAUACACCUGCAAAAGCAAGUCGAGCCGGAACCCACUGCUGAAGUGGUCAGUGGGUGAGGGGGCGCUGCACGAGUUCGCCUUUGCCCCUGACGGCAAGCAUGUGGCAUGUGCCAGCCAAGAUGGCAGCCUGCGGGUCUUCCAUUUCGAUUCCAUGGAGCUGUAUGGAGUGAUGAAGAGCUACUUUGGGGGCUUGCUGUGCGUGUGCUGGAGUCCGGAUGGCCGCUAUAUCGUGACGGGGGGUGAGGAUGACCUCGUGACAGUCUGGUCCUUCUGGGACUGCCGGGUGAUUGCACGGGGGCACGGUCACAAGUCCUGGGUCAGCGUGGUGGCUUUUGACCCUUACACAAGUAGCAUGGAUGAAGGCGACCUGCCCGAGUUCAGUGGGAGUGACGAUGACUUUCAGGAGCAUGCUCCACUUGCCCGCAAUCGCACAAACAGCACUUUAUCCAGACUCUCCAAGCACAAUUCCACAGAUGGACGGGCAGCUAGUGUGACCUACCGCUUUGGCUCUGUGGGCCAGGACACUCAGUUUUGCCUCUGGGAUUUGACAGAAGACAUCCUUUUUCCCCAUAAGCCCCUCUCACGGGCUCGGACGCACACGAAUGUGGUGAGCACCACAGUCCCUGGCUCCCUCAGUGGCAGAAGCCUCACCAGUGGUCUCUUACUGGAGGCUGGCACCGCCAACUCUAUCCCGCACUCGCUCUCCCGCUCCAACAGCCUGCCGCACCCAGCAGUGACCAAUGCCAACAGUAAGGCCCACACGGAUGGGGGUAUGCCCUUCAGUAUCAGUAAGUUUGCCACGCUGGCUCAUCAUGAGCGCAAGGAUAAGUGCACGGAGAAGGACCACAAACGUAACCACAGCAUUGGACACGUCAUCAGCAAGAGUAACGACAAGCUGCACAUGGUCACAAGGAACAAAACUGAUCCAGCAAAGAGUUUGGGUACCACCUUGUGCCCCCGAAUGGAUGAGGUGCCAUUGCUAGAGCCUUUGGUCUGUAAAAAGAUUGCACAUGAGAGACUAACGGUGUUGAUAUUCUUGGAGGACUGCAUAGUCACUGCCUGCCAAGAGGGCUUCAUUUGCACAUGGGCACGGCCAGGUAAAGUGGUGAGUAUGGGAGGCACAGGGACAGAUCAGAGACGUAAUCUCUGUCACCUCCUCCUGCCUUAGAACCCCUCUGACUUGUAUGCACCAAUACUGUUUGCUUAUACAGCCCUGAAUUUAUUCACCCCACUGCUGGCAGGCAUGCUUUCAGCUGCCAAGGACAAAAGGAUGGAAUCUCUUCGUGCUCCUCCUUUUUGAACACUUCCCCUUGACCAAGCUGAGUAACUCCUCACACAACAGUGUCGUAUUUGCCUGGCAGAGACACCCGAUGAGGGUUUACUGUCGGCACAGAAUCAAGCUAAUUCACCGAGUGGCACUGUGGUGUAGUUGGAGUCUGCUUUGGAAGUGCAUUCAAUUGUGGUCUGCCAGGGCUUUGCCAGUAUUUAGGCAUUUGCCCGUUGACUGUUAGAGCUGCUGCUGCAUCAGUGGUCCCAGUGGUUGGAUAAGGAAUACCCAAGUGGGUCAGUCAUGAGCCGAAAUGGACUCCUUUAUUUAUUAAUAUGUUCAACACUAAAUCCUGUCCUGGAUUUGAACCUCAAAUCACUUCUAAUUUAUCAAACUGUACAGUUAAAAUGUAACCCAGAGAGCAAAAUCAGGAGCUUUAUCAGUGUCUUACUACAGAUAGAUUAUUAUAUAUUGUGUACAUAGACAAAGAUUCACUGAAACUAACUGAGGAUGGGUAGCCUGUGUAAUUCUCAUUGCAGACUCAAAUAUGAGUACUGAGCAAUACGUAUCCCAUGAAUAGGAUUUGAUCGGAAACAAAUUCCAGUUUUUGGAAAUGUUCAUCUCCGAUUGGGUAUGGAAUAAACAUAAGUAAUAGAAGGCCUGACAGAGCAAUAUGCUUCUGCUACUGUCUGUGGAGUAAGCAAUUUAGAGUUGGUCACUUUUUUUUAUUUGCACUUGAUCAAAUUCUACAUGACUGAAUUGUGAUGAGGUACACAGUGCCAUUACCCCUGCCUAUAAAUAUUGUACAUGCAGUGAUUUGCAAAAGAUAACAUAUGACUGAUUUCACCUUUAUUAAAAUAUUUAAAAUAUGUUUCUAAUA
Hypanus sabinus (Atlantic stingray) is the source of this 2816-nucleotide RNA transcript. It is a transcript of the gene named WD repeat-containing protein 20-like, with no coding region annotated. The transcript has 4 exons. The record is from RefSeq and is a predicted model, not a curated record. NCBI's taxonomy places the organism in Eukaryota, Metazoa, Chordata, Chondrichthyes, Myliobatiformes, Dasyatidae.